Molecule: ribosomal RNA, 274 nt
Filed under: uncultured bacterium
Lineage: Bacteria
Description: partial 16S ribosomal RNA
Rfam family: Bacterial small subunit ribosomal RNA
Source: RNAcentral
AUACGGAGGGUGCAAGCGUUAUCCGGAAUCAUUGGGUUUAAAGGGUUCGCAGGCGGAGUAAUAAGUCAGUGGUGAAAUCCUCUCGCUCAACGAGAGAACUGCCAUUGAAACUGUUAGCCUUGAAUUCGGUCGAAGUAGGCGGAAUGUGUCAUGUAGCGGUGAAAUGCAUAGAUAUGACACAGAACACCGAUAGCGAAGGCAGCUUACUAGACCUGGAUUGACGCUCAUGGACGAAAGCGUGGGGCGCGAACAGGAUUAGAAACCCCAGUAGUCC